CAACUAUCCCACUAAACACUCAUCAUUCCACUAAACACUCAUUAUUCCACACACUCAUCAUUCCACUAAACACUCUUUACACCUUCUUUUGCCAGCCAUCUUCUACACUUUAACAUCUCAACAUGCAAUUAGCUUUUAUUUAAUCAAAAUCAGCAACCAACAUUCCUCCCAUUCCUCCUAAUAUUCUGAUCCAAGCUAUACGUUCUUAUGCUUGAAUUAUAAUUCACUGAUUCCAGCUUUCCAAAUCAGUUUCCAAGAUUUCCCAAAACAAGAAAGAGAUCCAAUUUUGGUGAAUUCAGAAAGAAGAUUUUCCUCAUUUCCUACUCAUAUCAAGGUUACCUCCUACUUUACUUUCUCCAUACAUUCAUUUGUUAAAUUACAAAACUAUGAUUCAAAUGAAAACAGAUCGAACACACGCAUCCAUUACCACUUCUUUUAGACUAUUAUUGUUUCAAUUACAUCAGCUUAUUACCAUCAGAGAACCACCAACAGAAUAAUACACACGCACACAUUUUACUAUAUUCUCUAAUCUAUUACAUGUACAAUCAGUUUUAAUAAAAAGGAAAUGAAUGAUUGAAAGAACAGAUUUUUAAAACCCUAACUUGUUCUAUAUUUUGAAUCUGGACUGAAAAAUUUGGAGAGUUCCUUGUGUUUUGCUUGCGUGUGUGUUGUUCGAAUCGUGAGAGGGGAAGGAGGGAGCAGCAGACGGCUGUUCGGCGCCGGCAACGGCGGCGCGGCGGCAACUGUCGUCCAGUCCCUGUUCUGCCAAAACGAGAGAGAAGGGAAAGGGGGAGAGAUUAGAUUAUAACAAAAAAGAA
Molecule: long non-coding RNA, 818 nt
Organism: Salvia miltiorrhiza (redroot sage)
Lineage: Eukaryota; Viridiplantae; Streptophyta; Magnoliopsida; Lamiales; Lamiaceae
Exons: 2
Source: RefSeq, a predicted model, not a curated record